UUUCCGUAGGUGAACCUGCGGAGGGAUCAUUACAGAGUUCAUGCCCUACCGGGUAGAUCUCCCACCCUAUGUUAUUAUUACUUUGUUGCUUUGGCGGGCCGUUAGGCUCCGGCCCGACUACCGGCCCCGGCUGGUAAGCGCCCGCCAGAGGACCCAAAACCCUGAAUAUUAGUGUCGUCUGAGUACUAUAUAAUAGUUAAAACUUUCAACAACGGAUCUCUUGGUUCUGGCAUCGAUGAAGAACACAGC
This 249-nucleotide unclassified non-coding RNA is filed under the name plant metagenome. RNAcentral describes it as "partial contains small subunit ribosomal RNA, internal transcribed spacer 1, and 5.8S ribosomal RNA". The stretch from base 201 to 249 matches the Rfam family "5.8S ribosomal RNA", at positions 1 to 49 of the family's 154-position model. The record is from RNAcentral.